This 458-nucleotide long non-coding RNA is filed under the name Physcomitrium patens. RNAcentral's name for it is "long non-coding RNA (PPAT_LNC008010)". Lineage: Eukaryota; Viridiplantae; Streptophyta; Bryopsida; Funariales; Funariaceae. The record is from RNAcentral.
UUUUAGGAUUUGGUUUAGGGUUUAAGAUUUGGUAAAGAUUUGAUUUAGAAUUUAGAGUUUAGUUAGGGUUUCAUUUAGGGUUUAAGGCUUGGUUAGGAUUUGGUUUAGGAUUAAAGGUUUGGAUUAGAUUUUGGUUGGGAUUUGGUUUAAUGUUUGUUUUGGAUUUGGUUUAGGAUUAAGGAUUUAAUUAAGAUUUGGUUUAGAGUUUGGAUAGAAUUUGGUUUAGGAUUUGGUUUAGGAUUUGCUUAGGAUUUGUUUAGGAUUUAAGAUUUAAUUAGUUUUGGUCUAAAGUUUGAAUGAAGUGUAAUAGGAUUUUAACUAGAAUUAAAUUAAAAUUGAAUUAAAAUAUAUUUGAGAGAUAUUUGUUAUUAUUUUAAUAUUUCUUUAAGGUUUCUUAAUAUUUCUUUGAAAUUUCUUUGAAAGUUUUUUUGAAUUUGAUUAAAGCUUGCUUAGUAUUA